UCUCUCUCUCUCUGUCUCUCUCUCUCUCUCUGUCUCUCUCUCUCAAAAACAAGAGCAAAAUAUGAAAAUCAAAACAAAUGAACAAACAAAAAGCCAUCAAAUCAAACAAAAGAACAACACAAGUUUCAGAGAUCAAAUAUUUACUGGCACACAGCACUGCAGAAGUAGGCAAGCCUCUCUCCUGAAUCAUGUGGGUCACUAUGUGGAGCAUCUAAGUUUGAUAACUAUAAUCAAAGGAGUAUGACUUUCAAAAUGACAGUAAUAAGAUUCUCUACUAAAAUGUGCUGCUCUUACAGUAGAGAACUGAAAUCUUUCAAACAUGGGCUCUAUUCAGAAAUUGUAGAAGGCAUCACAUAAGCACUAGCUAGGGAAUAUUGCUGUCUGUCCCUUCUCUGUACUCCUCCAUUGUUGCUAACACCCUUCUUAGGCUCUUGUCACAGCCCAUCACUCCCUGCUUGAUCCAGCCUCGCCCACAGCAUCCCUUGUCUGACCUCUAACGAGCUCCCUCAAUGCCCUUUCUGCGUCCACUCUUGCCCUUCACCAUUGUUCACGCUUCAAAAUGAAAUACUUGCCCUUAAAGGGCUCACAGAAAAGACUUCAGACUUGUAUUCCAUGUCAGCUCUCAUAUCUGCUCAGUUUCUGAGGUAUAACAUGAAGCCAAUGACACCAAGAUCAAGCCAGUCAUGGACAAUAAAUAACAGAAUUCAUUGCUCAUAUUCCUACAAAGUCCAUUGGCCAAAGCACCAAUCCUUGGUAAAUAUUUUUUUAACGCUUAUCUAUCUACUUGGUGUGGAACGAUGGUGCUACAGUAUGUGCAGAAGUCAGAGAGCAAAUCUCCCACCACCCAUUGGAUUCUAGAUAUCUAACACUGGCGUUCAGCUUUCGUUUCAAGCUCCUUUACCCUCUGAUCCAUCUCUCAAUUUCACAUCUUGUUGGAAAACGACAUCUUGGACCACAUCAGUAUCUUGCCUAUGGUUGUGCUCUUCCCCACAGUUUUAGACUGAUAAAAAAAAAAGAAUCUUUUCCUGUAUCAGAUGCACAAUGAGUGCAGGUGCCAGCCCUCUGGGGCUCUGUGAGCCAGGAAGAUGAUUGAAGACCCCUGUAUGUACAAACUGAGACGAAAAGGUAGCAAUCUGACUUCUAGAAAUCACAAAUUCUCCUUUGACUUCAGUUUUCAAAAUAGAAUUCAAAAUUCUGCAAAUAUCUGUGGUACCAAUUUGUUGUGGAUUAGACCCUAUGUGGGUUUAUUCCAGCCUCCUGCUGACCCAGAAGAGUCGCCUCCCAGUGCUUUGCAGAGCUGACUCCUCACUCUCUGUCCUUUGUUGGAACUAAUUACUUAGAUCGCAAGAGAUCUUAACAAGCCAUCUAAUGGUUCUUCUUGUUGAACUGUGAGUCUCCAAGGUUUCCACUUAUUUCAGGGCUAUUCAUAUUAUACAAGAAUGUUCAGGGCGAAUAGUUGACCUGAGAAUGGAUAAAGGGGACUCUGAAGGAGGAAAGCCAUUUCUUAUUCUGGCAGCCUUCAAACAUUAUCCUGUGAACUUCAAAGUCUAGCUGUGGCCUUUUUCAAGGCAAAAAGUUGAUGACCUGGGAGUGACUUGCUAGAUGCAGGUGGCCCGUAGAAGUAAUAACGCAGGACCUCGCCCAUCACUGGAAUGGGUGAUCUGUGGCAAAACUCUUAGAGUCCUUGACAAUAUGUUGACAGCAUUCCCUCCUGAAAGGUCAGAAAACAAUGAAAACUAAAUAUGCAGUUUGGACUCUGCUGUGGUUCUGUGCUCCAUGUGCUUUGUCAUGAGGGAGUACGAAAAGCGGGUAAGAAAAUAUCGGCGAAGACUAGAGUGGUGUGCAUUCUCCGUAUUACUCAGGAGAACGGAAUUACCCUUUCUCCCAGCGUAUUUCCGAAGUCAGCUGCAGUGCCAGAGCCAAGGAGAAAGGGAAUCCGUUUUCACAGUUGUGUCUGGAACUAAACUUUGCUGCAGAGUGGGAACCCUGCAGCCAUUCUUUGUUGUGAAACCCUUCUGGGUUUCUGAGCUGCCGUGGAAAGCUGUUCAACACUGGCAAUGCCCAGGAGAGAACUUAAGAAAGUGAGCUGAGGUCUUUCACCCUGAAUGGAUCAUCUGGCAAGUGGGACUGGCUGUCCAGGACAUUCGUAGCUGUAGACAAAGGAGCUCAUUUGUUUUGUCUCAUUCACAAACCAGCACCCUGUGUAUUUUAUUCUACGUCAUACAUCUUCGAAGGAAUGAUGAUUGAAUCAAUAUUAUUUCUAAUGAUAAGGAAAAUAAAUGCCAGAGCAUUGCUUUAUCAUGUGUAGCAUUUUUAUGAAGUAUAUGCUAUAGCUAUAGAUAUCAGCUAUAUACAGAAAAGAAUAUGUAUCAUAGAUUAUAUGUAUAUAGUAAACUACAAAUGAAAAAUCCACAUAGAGGUAGUAUAUAGAAACAAAAGAGCCAUAUUUGAGCAUUUCAAUGUUUACAGCGGGCUUACCUUCCUUUCUCAAAAUGAAAGGUUGCUUCUA
This 2509-nucleotide long non-coding RNA is filed under the name Mus musculus (house mouse). Its description in RNAcentral is "long non-coding RNA chr14:117341597-117344106". The record is from RNAcentral. Lineage: Eukaryota; Metazoa; Chordata; Mammalia; Rodentia; Muridae.